Molecule: long non-coding RNA, 1125 nt
Filed under: Daucus carota (carrot)
Lineage: Eukaryota; Viridiplantae; Streptophyta; Magnoliopsida; Apiales; Apiaceae
Description: long non-coding RNA (DCAR_LNC000526)
Source: RNAcentral
UUUUAGAUCGUGAGUGAGAAUGUGAUCAGAAAUGGGAAUGAAGGGUAUAGUAAUCAGGAUAUGGGAACGAGUAUGUUAAGGAAAGUAUAAGAAAUGAUUUACUCUCCAGGUGGGAUCGGGUUCUCAUUCCACGUCACAAAAUUGCUAAUCCAAAUACCAACACGUGAGUUUGAGAUUCCGUUCAUCGUUAAAUGAGCUCGUUAACCCUGAAGCAAAUGCCUCCUAAUCAUAUUAAUUUAUAAACAUAAUAUCGUUACUAAAGAGGGCAGAUCUCAGACACUUGUCAUAAACAAUUAUAAACUGGCAUAUAGGAAUAUUAACAAUAUAUCCCCAAUAUGCAAAAAAAAUCAUGUUAUCUGAUUAAAGUGCUCCUAUAUAUAGGCCUUUAUUCUAUGUUUUAUGCACCAAACCAGCACAAGCUACUACUACUUGCAUACUAACUCAGACACAGAUUUUGAUCUCACAGACCCAAAAAUAUCAUAUAUGGCAGAGAGUAUUAGGAUGAGGCUAGAAAACUUUGGAAGAAAGCCAAGAAGUGGCAAAAGUACUACUACUGCAUCUUCUCCUUCUCCGCCUUCACAGCCAUUGUGUAAGUAUCAAUAUCAGCCGAAUCAAACCCGUGUUUGUCAGGUGGCUCCUACAGCUUCUCAUGCUAUCAUUGAGACUGCAGUUUUCAUGGACUUCUACAACGGUCGCGCUGAGGCUCCGAAUAAGGAUUAUUUCUUGAGAAAGCCAAUAAGCAUGGCUUAACAUGCUUGCUCUCUUGUUUUAUUUGGAGCUCUAGGAAAAGUUUAAUUAGAGUGCAUGCUUUCUUUACAAACAUAUAUGCAUGCGCUGUGUAUUUUAAGAUUAUGUAGGUUAGUGGGGGUUAUAACUUAUAAGUCGCACCAGCCUCUCCUUCAGUCCUGAAGUGUAGUUAGUGUUGUGUACUAUGGCUGGUAGCUGAACUUUGUACUGUUUUACUUGUGUUAUUGUGUAUAUCUGUUUGGAGAAUGAUUGUCUUUAAUCUUACUAGAAAAUGGAAAUGUUUCUUAUACGUAAGAGUUGAUACUCUUGAUGAUCAGGUAAUUUUAUCUUAUAAUUUGUUUUUGGAAAAAUUUCUCCAAAAAUAAUCAUAUUGUGAGG